GAGCGAACGCUGGCGGCAGGCUUAACACAUGCAAGUCGAGCGGGCACUUCGGUGUCAGCGGCAGACGGGUGAGUAACACGUGGGAACGUACCCUUUGGUUCGGAAUAACGCUGGGAAACUAGCGCUAAUACCGGAUACGCCCUUUUGGGGAAAGGCUUGCUGCCGAAGGAUCGGCCCGCGUCUGAUUAGCUAGUUGGUGGGGUAAUGGCCUACCAAGGCGACGAUCAGUAGCUGGUCUGAGAGGAUGAUCAGCCACACUGGGACUGAGACACGGCCCAGACUCCUACGGGAGGCAGCAGUGGGGAAUAUUGGACAAUGGGCGCAAGCCUGAUCCAGCCAUGCCGCGUGAGUGAUGAAGGCCUUAGGGUUGUAAAGCUCUUUUGUCCGGGACGAUAAUGACGGUACCGGAAGAAUAAGCCCCGGCUAACUUCGUG
Molecule: ribosomal RNA, 434 nt
Filed under: uncultured bacterium
Lineage: Bacteria
Description: partial 16S ribosomal RNA
Rfam family: Bacterial small subunit ribosomal RNA
Source: RNAcentral